CUGGAUACAUUAAAUCAUCAAUGCACAAAUCCAAGAUUCUGGAGCACAAUCGGAAUCUUGUAAGCCACUGCAACCAUCUCCAUCUUCUCUCUUUUCUGAUUCAAAGUGAUUUCUAGGGUUCCUCUCAAAUCUGAAAGACAAUUAUUAUUGUAAUUUUUUGAUAGAUUUUUUUAAUUGUUGAAUCCAUUUUUUUUAAUAUAUUUACCUGGAAUGAUUUUUCUUAUUUUCAAUUUUGGUUUUUUAAUAUAUUUACCUGGAAUGAUUCUUAUUU
Molecule: long non-coding RNA, 271 nt
Filed under: Malus domestica (apple)
Lineage: Eukaryota; Viridiplantae; Streptophyta; Magnoliopsida; Rosales; Rosaceae
Description: long non-coding RNA (MDOM_LNC013701)
Source: RNAcentral